Molecule: ribosomal RNA, 484 nt
Filed under: uncultured bacterium
Lineage: Bacteria
Description: partial 16S ribosomal RNA
Rfam family: Bacterial small subunit ribosomal RNA
Source: RNAcentral
AUUGAACGCUGGCGGCAGGCCUAACACAUGCAAGUCGAGCGGAUGAAGGGAGCUUGCUCCUGGAUUCAGCGGCGGACGGGUGAGUAAUGCCUAGGAAUCUGCCUUGUAGUGGGGGAUAACGUCCGUACACGGGCGCUAAUACCGCAUACGUCCUGAGGGAGAAAGUGGGGGAUCUUCGGACCUCACGCUAUCAGAUGAGCCUAGGUCGGAUUAGCUAGUUGGUGGGGUAAAGGCCUACCAAGGCGACGAUCCGUAACUGGUCUGAGAGGAUGAUCAGUCACACUGGAACUGAGACACGGUCCAGACUCCUACGGGAGGCAGCAGUGGGGAAUAUUGGACAAUGGGCGAAAGCCUGAUCCAGCCAUGCCGCGUGUGUGAAGAAGGUCUUCGGAUUGUAAAGCACUUUAAGUUGGGAGGAAGGGCAGUAAGUUAAUACCUUGCUGUUUUGACGUUACCAACAGAAUAAGCACCGGCUAACUUCGUG